GCAACAUAAGAAAAAUUGUAGUGAAUUGGAAACGAGUUGAUUUUAAUUUUUUCAUUUUUUACAAUAUUAGUUCAAAGAAAAGUAUUGUGCGAUAACGUUACGUAUAAUAUUUGGACUCAUUCAGUGCUACCCCUUGCGUUAAUCAUCCUGAACAGAUUUUCUUUCGAAAAAACAUUUUAUGAAGUUGUUAUACAGAAGUGCGCCUGACCUAAUGUGGGCCCUUUGGAUCCUUUGGUGAUAUUCGGCGAAAUCGCCAAGAAAGUGAUUAAUUUUCUUUUCGGAGUAUAACGGCAAGGGCUAAAUAAUACCGUGUCUUUACUAACACAACCGGUAAACUCAACGAAGCUUUCCCCUGCUGUUUUCGAAACUUUUCGCUGGCCAGAACUUCGACAGGAUGUGUUCCAGGCGAGACGACGUCAGCAGGAUGUGAAGUAGAAGGAGCGCAUCAAGGGAUGGUGUCGGAUAAGUUUUAUUUUUAAAAAUCGUACAAUUACCGGUGAAGUUACAUUAGCUCUUUUCCGUGUAAAUUUACUCCAGCGCAAAAUACUAAAUAUCAACAGCACACUUGACACUUGACGUACAAAUGGGAUAGUUCUGCACUCAAAUAUACUUACGUAAGAAACAAGCAAAACCUCUCAUAUUUGAAGCGCCAAACUUGCGGUUUCCAACUUGUUAAUUUUUACUUGGAAUUCCUAACGAACGAAAAGCAACGUUCUGGUUAAUUAUGAGAUGAAGAAACAAAUAACACUAUUGAAAAAUUUUAUCAAACAGAGCUCUCGUUGAGGUAUUUUGGUUGAUUAUUGGUUAUCGUAUCUUUUGUUAUUUUUUAUGUUUAUGAUUUAGUAUAUAUUUUGAA
Long non-coding RNA from Hermetia illucens (black soldier fly), 856 nucleotides. RefSeq lists it as uncharacterized. The transcript is spliced from 3 exons. The record is from RefSeq and is a predicted model, not a curated record. Lineage: Eukaryota; Metazoa; Arthropoda; Insecta; Diptera; Stratiomyidae.